This 292-nucleotide ribosomal RNA is filed under the name uncultured bacterium. RNAcentral's name for it is "partial 16S ribosomal RNA". It matches the Rfam family "Bacterial small subunit ribosomal RNA", at positions 505 to 796 of the family's 1533-position model. The record is from RNAcentral.
GUGCCAGCAGCCGCGGUAAGACGUAGGGGGCCAGCGUUGCUCGGAAUUACUGGGCGUAAAGGGUUCGUAGGCGGUGCGGCAAGUCGGAAGUGAAAUCUCCAGGCUUAACUUGGAGGCUGCUUCUGAAACUGCCGUGCUGGAGUGCGGGAGAGGCCAGUGGAAUUGCAGGUGUAGCGGUGAAAUGCGUAGAUAUCUGCAGGAACACCCGUGGCGAAGGCGGCUGGCUGGACCGCAACUGACGCUGAGGAACGAAAGCUAGGGGAGCAAACAGGAUUAGAAACCCGGGUAGUCC